Long non-coding RNA from Pteronotus mesoamericanus, 739 nucleotides. RefSeq lists it as uncharacterized. The record is from RefSeq and is a predicted model, not a curated record. NCBI's taxonomy places the organism in Eukaryota, Metazoa, Chordata, Mammalia, Chiroptera, Mormoopidae. The transcript is spliced from 2 exons.
UUUGUCCCAACACAGGAGGCAUUUGGGACAUCACGCCUGCCCUUUUAUACUCAGGGAAACUGAAGCCUGGAGUAAGAAGGCUAAACCGGACUCAACUGGCCACCCCUGGCACCCUGAGGCAGCCAGAUGGUGAAGGUGUCAAUCAGGCCUCCUGGAGGUUUCCAGGGGUGACUUUGAGAUUCCAGAAGAACCCAAGAGUUGUGUCAGAUAUGUUCUACGCAGGAGAAGCAAGGUUACCUGGGUCUGCUGGCCUCCAUCGAUUGCAUGGGCCCGACCUUUAUUUUACAACCUGGAGGCCCCAUGCCAGGACCUGGUCUGCAUCUUGGAGCUGCUUUCCCCCAAGCUCCCUGCAACCCCCUCAGCUUCCAUCUACCGGAGGAGGGAUAGGGUCAGAGCCUCCCCUUCCCUCACCUUCCACCCCAGGCCGACAGUGCAGAGAAGACGCACCUCAAGAACAAGGGUGGGAAAGAAAGCCACAUAAGCCAGGAAGAUCGGUGAAAGCCUUGGUUUAAUUGGAGACAAGAUCGAAGGAUUGAUUAUCGAUCAAUGGACUGACUGAUUGAUCGUCAAAGUGGACAAUACUCGAGGGGUCCUCUGUAACCCCCCUGGAGAGAGGAGCCCUGAUUUGGGGAGGGAUGGUCCAUCAAUUGUAGCCAGCCCCACCCGCCCUGGGACAGGCUAUACUCAGCCCUCACCCCCAGAUGAACUAACUCCCCAUCAAACAACAGCGCUGAGCCCA